RNAcentral lists this ribosomal RNA (462 nucleotides) under uncultured bacterium. RNAcentral describes it as "partial 16S ribosomal RNA". It matches the Rfam family "Bacterial small subunit ribosomal RNA", at positions 28 to 507 of the family's 1533-position model. The record is from RNAcentral.
GACGAACGCUGGCGGCGUGCUUAACACAUGCAAGUCGAGCGGAAAGGCCCUUCGGGGUACUCGAGCGGCGAACGGGUGAGUAACACGUGAGUAACCUGCCCCAGACUUUGGGAUAACCCUCGGAAACGGGGGCUAAUACCGGAUACGACACAGCUUCGCAUGGGGUCUGUGUGGAAAGUUUGUCGGUUUGGGAUGGGCUCGCGGCCUAUCAGCUUGUUGGUGGGGUGAUGGCCUACCAAGGCGACGACGGGUAGCCGGCCUGAGAGGGCGACCGGCCACACUGGGACUGAGACACGGCCCAGACUCCUACGGGAGGCAGCAGUGGGGAAUAUUGCACAAUGGGCGGAAGCCUGAUGCAGCAACGCCGCGUGAGGGAUGACGGCCUUCGGGUUGUAAACCGCUUUCAGCAGGGACGAAGCGUAAGUGACGGUACCUGCAGAAGAAGCGCCGGCCAACUACGUG